UACGUAGGGUGCGAGCGUUAAUCGGAAUUACUGGGCGUAAAGCGUGCGCAGGCGGUGCUGUAAGACAGGCGUGAAAUCCCCGGGCUUAACCUGGGAAUGGCGCUUGUGACUGCAGUGCUGGAGUGUGGCAGAGGGGGAUGGAAUUCCGCGUGUAGCAGUGAAAUGCGUAGAUAUGCGGAGGAACACCGAUGGCGAAGGCAAUCCCCUGGGCCUGCACUGACGCUCAUGCACGAAAGCGUGGGGAGCAAACAGGAUUAGAAACCCCCGUAGUCC
This 273-nucleotide ribosomal RNA is filed under the name uncultured bacterium. RNAcentral's name for it is "partial 16S ribosomal RNA". It matches the Rfam family "Bacterial small subunit ribosomal RNA", at positions 524 to 796 of the family's 1533-position model. The record is from RNAcentral.